CCUACGGGUGGCUGCAGUGGGGAAUAUUGGACAAUGGGGGGAACCCUGAUCCAGCCAUGCCGCGUGUGUGAAGAAGGCCCUCGGGUUGUAAAGCACUUUCAGUGAGGAAGAACGCCUGGUGGUUAAUACCCAUCAGGAAAGACAUCACUCACAGAAGAAGCACCGGCCAACUCCGUGCCAGCAGCCGCGGUAAUACGGAGGGUGCGAGCGUUAAUCGGAAUUACUGGGCGUAAAGCGCGCGUAGGUGGCUUGAUAAGCCGGUUGUGAAAGCCCCGGGCUCAACCUGGGAACGGCAUCCGGAACUGUCAAGCUAGAGUGCAGGAGAGGAAGGUAGAAUUCCCGGUGUAGCGGUGAAAUGCGUAGAGAUCGGGAGGAAUACCAGUGGCGAAGGCGGCCUUCUGGACUGACACUGACACUGAGGUGCGAAAGCGUGGGUAGCAAACAGGAUUAGAUACCCUGGUAGUC
RNAcentral lists this ribosomal RNA (465 nucleotides) under Vreelandella stevensii. RNAcentral's name for it is "partial 16S ribosomal RNA". It matches the Rfam family "Bacterial small subunit ribosomal RNA", at positions 338 to 795 of the family's 1533-position model. Lineage: Bacteria; Pseudomonadati; Pseudomonadota; Gammaproteobacteria; Oceanospirillales; Halomonadaceae. The record is from RNAcentral.